UACAGAGGGGGCAAGCGUUGUUCGGAAUUACUGGGCGUAAAGGGCGCGUAGGCGGCCUGUUAAGUCGGACGUGAAAUCCCUCGGCUCAACCGGGGAACUGCGUCCGAUACUGGCGGGCUUGAAUUCGGGAGAGGGAUGUGGAAUUCCAGGUGUAGCGGUGAAAUGCGUAGAUAUCCGGAGGAACACCAGCGGCGAAGGCGGCAUCCUGGACUGGUCCUGACACUCAUGAGCGAAAGCGUGGGGAGCGAGCCGG
This 253-nucleotide ribosomal RNA is filed under the name uncultured bacterium. Its description in RNAcentral is "partial 16S ribosomal RNA". It matches the Rfam family "Bacterial small subunit ribosomal RNA", at positions 524 to 776 of the family's 1533-position model. The record is from RNAcentral.